RNAcentral lists this long non-coding RNA (780 nucleotides) under Triticum aestivum (bread wheat). Its description in RNAcentral is "long non-coding RNA (TAES_LNC011629)". Lineage: Eukaryota; Viridiplantae; Streptophyta; Magnoliopsida; Poales; Poaceae. The record is from RNAcentral.
UGCAUCUUUUUUAGUUGGUCUCGUCGCAUCUAAUAGAAAACAUACAACUUGAUACAUUCUGUCGGAUGCAUAUCUUUUUUUCCUGGAAGUCGAACACUCAGAGCAAUGAUGGUAAACCAGGGGGCAUUUAUUUUUUUAGUUACAGAUUUGCUCAGCAGUCUUGGUGACGUAUGAUAUUUCCUUGGGGGCAAAUUCAGAUAUUUUGCCUCUUUUUCAGAUAGCUAAAGAUGGUUUUGCUGGCCCCUUGUUUCUUGAAGAUAAUCUCUUUUGCGCUGUGGAAUAUUUGGAAAUAGAUGAAUGCUUGGAUUUUUUAAGGGAAGCAAGCAUCUUUAUCCGGAUGGCUCUGGUCACAUAGAGUUAAAACCAAAGUCCACUCUAAGUGCUUGGAUCUCCUCUACGUCUUGAGCUUUUGAUCCUUAGACUUUAAUUUUUCUUUUUCUUUUAGGGGUAUCCUCUACCUCUAUGUAAUCAUGUAGCUUUGUACAUUACUCCCCUUUUUCCUCGCUCUAUUAAUGAAAAUUACAUAGUAGGGGGUUCCCCUACUGUUUGCCCAUCUUUUUUUUAAGAAACAUCGCUGAAAAGUCUUAUUUUUUAUUUCAUUUAAUUUCCUUAGUCAUGUGUUGAAAUGUUGGGAGAUUAAAGUUUAUGCUCUAUUCACACACCGUGGAGGCAACCAUGGCAGUCAUAGAGGGGGCUUCUAGAUAAAGUAAGACACUAAUUGUAUAUAUAACCAGGUUUUGUAUACAAUGCAUGAUGAGUAUUCUAUGUUGCACAUUCAUA